RNAcentral lists this ribosomal RNA (1244 nucleotides) under Batillaria attramentaria. RNAcentral's name for it is "partial 16S ribosomal RNA". The stretch from base 653 to 1244 matches the Rfam family "Archaeal large subunit ribosomal RNA", at positions 1423 to 2681 of the family's 2987-position model. Lineage: Eukaryota; Metazoa; Mollusca; Gastropoda; Batillariidae. The record is from RNAcentral.
UUUACAUAGCUUAAGAACUAAAUUGAUUUAAAAUAGAACUUGAAACAUCUAAAGAAUUUAGUAUCGGAGAAAGAAAUUUAAUUCAAAGAAAUAAAAGUACUGUAAAGGAAAAAGCUAAACACAAAAAAAUUAGUUUAAUUUGCGUACUUUUUGCAUCACGGCUUAGCAAGAACUAACUUAAAAUUUUAAAUUCUCGAAAGUUAGCGAGCUAUUUUUUUCCGGGAAUUAGACCUAAUUUUUAAAACUACUCAAAAUGUAGCAAAAUUUUAGUAAGAGUUAAAAAUAGAGAUGAAAUUUUAUCCGCGCUAACGAUAGCUAGUUUUCCCAGAAAUGUAUAGAAGUACUAAAAUAAAAAUAAGUCAGAGAAACAUUAGAUUCUAUGAUUUGUUUUAAUAUUAAAAGUUUUUAAGGAUAAGCUUGAAAACAUUAGGUAAAAAAUAUAUACAAAACUUAUAAUGUAGGCUUGAAAUUGGCCACCAUAAAAAACUUAUUAUAAAGUAGUUUUUAUAUCUUGUAAAAUGAAUAUAUUUUCCAUUCCGAUCUUUAUGGGGAUAAAAAACCAAACUAAUUAGUUUUUUAACCUAUGCUAAGAUGAGUAUUAAAUAUUGUGGUAGAAAUUAAGAAUGUUACAAUUUUGAUUCUUGUAAGAAAUUGAAAUUUAAAUAAAAUAGGGAGAAGGAACUCGGCAAAAUAAAUUGCUUCGCCUGUUUAUCAAAAACAUGGCUCUCUGCUAAUAAAAAAUAGAGAGUCGAACCUGCCCAGUGAAGAUUUUUAACGGCCGCGGUACUCUGACCGUGCAAAGGUAGCAUAAUCAUUUGCCUUAUAAUUGAAGGCUUGUAUGAAUGGUUUGACGAGAGCAGUACUGUCUCCUCUUUAAUUGAUAGAAUUUAACUUUUAGGUGAAGAGGCCUAAAUAAAAUUGAAGGACAAGAAGACCCUGUCGAGCUUAAAAGAAAAGUAGGAAAUAGAGCUAUAAUUAUCUUAAAUGUGUUACUACUAAAGCUUUUUGGUUGGGGCGACUAAGGAACAGAAAAAGCUUCUUUAAAUAAAUAUACCUGUUAGUGGUGAUCCAGUAAACCUGAUUAAAAGAAUUAGUUACCGCAGGGAUAACAGCAUAAUCUCUCUUAAGAGACCAAAUCGAAAGAGGGGGUUGUGACCUCGAUGUUGGACUAGAAUAUCCUAAAGAUGCAGAAGUCUUUAAGGGUUGGUCUGUUCGACCAUUAAAAUUCUACAUGAUCUGAGUUC